RNAcentral lists this small RNA (497 nucleotides) under Pan troglodytes (chimpanzee). RNAcentral describes it as "processed transcript". Lineage: Eukaryota; Metazoa; Chordata; Mammalia; Primates; Hominidae. The record is from RNAcentral.
GGACGUAUGUUGUCAAGUUGCAUCUUUUCUGCCUCCCUGCUCACAUCUGUCUGUCUCCUCUCAUUGCUUGCCUGUUCGGUUUUGUCCUUAGAACGGGGAGAAGGUGCUUCCCAAGGAUGACAUUGAGUGCCCACUGGGCUGGAAGUGGGAAGAUGAGGAAUGGUCCACAGACCUCAACCGGGCUGUCGAUGAGCAAGGCUGGGAGUAUAGCAUCACCAUCCCCCCGGAGCGGAAGCCGAAGCACUGGGUCCCUGCUGAGAAGAUGUACUACACACACCGACGGCGGCGCUGGGUGCGCCUGCGCAGGAGGGAUCUCAGCCAAAUGGAAGCACUGAAAAGGGUGAGCCAGCAGGUGGUGGGUGGGAGUUAGGCCUCUGGUCAGAGGUGGCCAGUAGGCACAGAUGCAGACCUGCAUGCCCACAGACACAUGCAUGUGUGCACACAGCAUGCACAGACACCUGGGACUCACUGGAGGUGCUCACAGAUCACACCCAGCA